This 63-nucleotide transfer RNA is filed under the name Sinanodonta woodiana. RNAcentral's name for it is "tRNA-Val". The record is from RNAcentral. Lineage: Eukaryota; Metazoa; Mollusca; Bivalvia; Unionida; Unionidae.
CAUAGGGUAGUAUAAUUAAUACCUUUUGCUUACACCAAAAUAUUGGCUUCAAACCCCCUAUGA